UUGUAGUCUGUAGAAGGUGCCUCGGGUGCGACAUCGGUCCAAGUUCCUUGGACUGGGGCGUCACAGAGGGUGAGAAUCCCGUACGUGGCCGGCCGUCAAUCCCGUGUGAGGUCCUUUCGACGAGUCGAGUUGUUUGGGAAUGCAGCUCUAAAUGGGUGGUAAAUUUCAUCUAAAGCUAAAUACCUGCCAGAGACCGAUAGCGCACAAGUAGAGUGAUCGAAAGAUGAAAAGCACUUUGAAAAGAGAGUUAAAAAGUACGUGAAAUUGUUGAAAGGGAAGCGCUUGCAACCAGACUCGUACGUGGGUGUUCAGCCAUUCUUCGGGGUGGUGUGCUCUCCCGCGCUCGGGCCAGCAUCGGUUCGGGCGGCCGGAUAAAGGCCCCGGGAAUGUGAUUCUCUUCGGGGAACGUUAUAGCCCGGGGUGCAAUGCGGCCAGCCUGGACCGAGGACCGCGCUUUUGCUAGGAUGCUGGCGUAAUGGUUGCCAGCGACCCGUCUUGAAACACGGACCAAGGAGUCGAUCUAUGCGGCGAGUGUUAGGGCGUAAAACCCUUGCGCGUAAUGAAAGUGAACGGAGGUGCGAGCUUCGGCGCGGCAUCGACCGAUCCUGAUAUUUAUGGAUGGAUUUGAGUAUGAGCCGUAUGGAUCGGACCCGAAAGAUGGUGAGCUAUGCGUGAAUAGGGUGAAGCCAGAGGAAACUCUGGUGGAGGCUCGCAGCGGUUCUGACGUCUAGUAGCUGGUUCCUGUCGAAGUUUCCCUCAGGAUAGCAGCAACGAAAACAGUCUCAUGAGGUAGAGCGAACGAUUAGAGGCCUUGGGGUUGAAACAACCUUAACCUAUUCUCGAACUUCGAAUAUGUGAGAAGUCCUUGUUACUUAGUUGAA
Molecule: ribosomal RNA, 881 nt
Filed under: Clandestinotrema stylothecium
Lineage: Eukaryota; Fungi; Ascomycota; Lecanoromycetes; Ostropales; Graphidaceae
Description: LSU rRNA
Rfam family: Eukaryotic large subunit ribosomal RNA
Source: RNAcentral